GAUGAACGCUGGCGGCGUGCCUAAUACAUGCAAGUCGAGCGAACAGACGAGGAGCUUGCUCCUCUGACGUUAGCGGCGGACGGGUGAGUAACACGUGGAUAACCUACCUAUAAGACUGGGAUAACUUCGGGAAACCGGGGCUAAUACCGGAUAAUAUAUUGAACCGCAUGGUUCAAUAGUUAAAGACGCUUUUGCUGUCACUUAUAGAUUGAUCCGCGCCGCAUUAGCUAGUUGGUAAGGUAACGGCUUACCAAGGCGACGAUGCAUAGCCGCCCUGAGAGGGUGAUCGGCCAGACUGGAACUGAGACACGGUCCAGACUCCUACGGGAGGCAGCAGUAGGGACUCUUCCGCAAUGGGCGAAAGCCUGACGGAGCAACGCCGCGUGAGUGAUGAAGGUCUUCGGAUCGUAAAACUCUGUUAUUAGGGAAGAAGAAAUGUGUAAGUAACUAUGCACGUCUUGACGGUACCUAAUCAGAAAGCCCCGGCUAACUCCGUG
Molecule: ribosomal RNA, 497 nt
Filed under: uncultured bacterium
Lineage: Bacteria
Description: partial 16S ribosomal RNA
Rfam family: Bacterial small subunit ribosomal RNA
Source: RNAcentral